RNAcentral lists this long non-coding RNA (412 nucleotides) under Trifolium pratense (red clover). Its description in RNAcentral is "long non-coding RNA (TPRA_LNC010893)". Lineage: Eukaryota; Viridiplantae; Streptophyta; Magnoliopsida; Fabales; Fabaceae. The record is from RNAcentral.
ACUGAUCGCGUUUGCUGACUUCAUAAAUAUUUGAAUAGCCGCAAGCGAUAAAUUAGGAACAUCAACAUGUAAGAUCUCAGAGUGUUCAGCCCACACAUUAAGAAAACCAGAAUAGUAAUCUUGAAUGGACAUAGGGCCUUGUCGAUAAUGUGCAACAUCGAGUUCAAGCUGAAAGCGUUUAGCAUCAUUAUUCAGAUUGUAAAUAGUCUUCAGGUGAUCCCACAUCUCUUUGGCUGUUGAGAAGGAGCGCAAGUUAUUAAUGAUUUGAGGCUCAACAGAAGCAAGGAUCCAAGUAAUAACUUGUGUGUCCUGUUUUCUCAUUUAUCCAACGCAGUAGCGUCGGUUGGAGCUGUCGAAGUCCCGUUGAGAUGACCAGACAAUGAUUUCCCUUUCACAAACAUUUCAAACUGAA